AUUUUAACUCUAGCCUACACAAACACCCACUACUACUAAAUUAUCUAAAACAUUUU
Molecule: ribosomal RNA, 56 nt
Filed under: Phaeognathus hubrichti (Red Hills salamander)
Lineage: Eukaryota; Metazoa; Chordata; Amphibia; Caudata; Plethodontidae
Description: partial large subunit ribosomal RNA
Source: RNAcentral